UAGUCCACGCCGUAAACGAUGUGUGCUAGUUGUUGGACAACAUAGUUGUUCAGUGACGAAGCUAACGCGAUAAGCACACCGCCUGGGGAGUACGGUCGCAAGAUUAAAACUCAAAGGAAUUGACGGGGACCCGCACAAGCGGUGGAGCAUGUUGUUUAAUUCGAAGCAACGCGAAGAACCUUACCUACCCUUGACAUACUUGUCGCACUUACCAGAGAUGGUUUGUUUCAGUUCGGCUGGACAAUGUACAGGUGCUGCAUGGCUGUCGUCAGCUCGUGUCGUGAGAUGUUGGGUUAAGUCCCGCAACGAGCGCAACCCUUAUCAUCUGUUGCCAGCACGUAAUGGUGGGAACUCUGAUGAGACUGCCGGUGAUAAGCCGGAGGAAGGCGGGGAUGACGUCAAGUCAUCAUGGCCCUUACGGGUAGGGCUACAAACGUGCUACAAUGGCUACUACAAUGGGCAGCUAGGUCGCGAGGCCAUGCGAAUCUCAAAAAGU
This 496-nucleotide ribosomal RNA is filed under the name uncultured bacterium. RNAcentral describes it as "bacterial SSU rRNA". It matches the Rfam family "Bacterial small subunit ribosomal RNA", at positions 791 to 1283 of the family's 1533-position model. The record is from RNAcentral.